RNAcentral lists this ribosomal RNA (443 nucleotides) under uncultured bacterium. Its description in RNAcentral is "partial 16S ribosomal RNA". It matches the Rfam family "Bacterial small subunit ribosomal RNA", at positions 338 to 795 of the family's 1533-position model. The record is from RNAcentral.
CCUACGGGGGGCAGCAGUGGGGGAUAUUGGACAAUGGGGGGAACCCUGAUCCAGCGACGCCGCGUGAGUGAAGAAGUAUUUCGGUAUGUAAAGCUCUGUCAGCAGGGAAGAAAGAAAUGACGGUACCUGACCAAGAAGCCCCGGCUAACUACGUGCCAGCAGCCGCGGUAAUACGGAGGGGGCAAGCGUUAUGCGGAAUUACUGGGUGUAAAGGGAGCGUAGACGGGUAAGUAAGUCUGGAGUGAAAGGCCGGGGCCCAACCCCGGGACUGCUCUGGAAACUAUUGAACUUGAGUGCAGGGGAGGUAAGCGGAAUUCCUAGUGUAGCGGUGAAAUGCGUAGAUAUUAGGAGGAACACCAGUGGCGAAGGCGGCUUACUGGACUGUAACUGACGUUGAGGCUCGAAAGCGUGGGGAGCAAACAGGAUUAGAUACCCGAGUAGUC